Molecule: ribosomal RNA, 376 nt
Filed under: uncultured bacterium
Lineage: Bacteria
Description: partial 16S ribosomal RNA
Rfam family: Bacterial small subunit ribosomal RNA
Source: RNAcentral
CCUACGGGAGGCAGCAGUGGGGAAUAUUGCACAAUGGGGGAAACCCUGAUGCAGCGACGCCGCGUGAGUGAAGAAGUAUUUCGGUAUGUAAAGCUCUAUCAGCAGGGAAGAAAAUGACGGUACCUGAGUAAGAAGCCCCGGCUAACUACGUGCCAGCAGCCGCGGUAAUACGUAGGAGGCGAGCGUUAUCCGGAUUUAUUGGGUUUAAAGGGUGCGUAGGCGGAUGAUAAAGUCAGCGGGAAAAUGUCCGGGCUAAACCCGGGCCGGCCGUUGAAACUGGGUAGCUUGAGUGGGCGAGAGGUAAGUGGAAUGCGUGGUGUAGCGGUGAAAUGCAUAGAUAUCACGAAGAACACCGGUUGCGAAGGCAGCUUACCGG